GACGAACGCUGGCGGCGUGCUUAACACAUGCAAGUCGAGCGGAAAGGCCACUUCGGUGGUACUCGAGCGGCGAACGGGUGAGUAACACGUGAGUAAUCUGCCCCUGGCUUUGGGAUAGCCACCGGAAACGGUGAUCAAUACCGGAUACGACCACUUCUCGCAUGGGAUGGUGGUGGAAAGUUUUUUCGGCCAGGGAUGUGCUCGCGGCCUAUCAGCUUGAUGGUGAGGUAAUGGCUCACCAUGGCUUCGACGGGUAGCCGGCCUGAGAGGGUGACCGGUCACACUGGGACUGAGACACGGCCCAGACUCCUACGGGAGGCAGCGGUGGGGAAUAUUGAACAAUGGGCGGAAGCCUGAUUCAGCAACGCCGCGUGAGGGAUGACGGCCUUCGGGUUGUAAACCUCUUUCAGCAGGGACGAAGCGCAAGUGACGGUACCUGCAGAAGAAGCACCGGCCAACUACGUGCCAGCCGCCGCCGUAA
This 481-nucleotide ribosomal RNA is filed under the name uncultured bacterium. Its description in RNAcentral is "partial 16S ribosomal RNA". It matches the Rfam family "Bacterial small subunit ribosomal RNA", at positions 28 to 523 of the family's 1533-position model. The record is from RNAcentral.